CCCAACUAUACCUAUUAAUCAUUAGUCAAUCCUAGAAACCAACAAAAUAAGAUCGAAAGUCCUAUUUCAUUAUUCCAGGCUAAGGUAUUCAACCGAUACCCGGCUUUAAACACUUUAAUUUUUUCAAAGUAACAUCCCAGUUUCCCCGCAACACCAAAUUAAUGGCAUUACGGUUCCUCAAGAAAAGAAGGGGCCCGACAGACCAGUAAAUACCAGGGGCAAACCAACUACUGACCCAAAAAUUCAUCAAG
This 251-nucleotide ribosomal RNA is filed under the name uncultured Rhizophagus. Its description in RNAcentral is "partial 18S ribosomal RNA". Lineage: Eukaryota; Fungi; Glomeromycota; Glomeromycetes; Glomerales; Glomeraceae. The record is from RNAcentral.